Molecule: long non-coding RNA, 298 nt
Organism: Octopus sinensis (East Asian common octopus)
Lineage: Eukaryota; Metazoa; Mollusca; Cephalopoda; Octopoda; Octopodidae
Exons: 3
Source: RefSeq, a predicted model, not a curated record
UCUCAAUAAUAACAAGACAUCUUUUGAGAAAGAGGGAAAAACCUCCUCAUUGAAACAAAACUCUGGAAGAAAACCAAAACUUUCAGAUAGGGACCGUUGGACUCUUCUGCGAAUUGUUAGAAAGGAUCACAAAAGUACAGGUCCCAGAAUUACUGCAGAAUUUAACGACCACCUUGAGAACCAAGUUUCCAUAAAAACUGUUUGCUGGAAGCUGCACAAAGCCGGAUUUCAUGGGAGGGCUGCAAUCAGAAAACCACUACUUUCAAAAACAAACGUUGCAAUGCGUUUAGAGUGGAGU